RNAcentral lists this ribosomal RNA (500 nucleotides) under uncultured bacterium. RNAcentral's name for it is "partial 16S ribosomal RNA". It matches the Rfam family "Bacterial small subunit ribosomal RNA", at positions 30 to 523 of the family's 1533-position model. The record is from RNAcentral.
AUUGAACGCUGGCGGAAUGCUUUACACAUGCAAGUCGAACGGCAGCACGGACUUCGGUCUGGUGGCGAGUGGCGAACGGGUGAGUAAUGUAUCGGAACGUGCCCAGGCGUGGGGGAUAACGUAGUGAAAAUUACGCUAAUACCGCAUACGAUCUAUGAAUGAAAGCGGGGGAUCGCAAGACCUCGCGCGAUUGGAGCGGCCGAUAUCAGAUUAGGUAGUUGGUGGGGUAAAGGCCCACCAAGCCAACGAUCUGUAGCUGGUCUGAGGGGACGACCAGCCACACUGGAACUGAGACACGGUCCAGACUCCUACGGGAGGCAGCAGUGGGGAAUUUUGGACAAUGGGCGAAAGCCUGAUCCAGCCAUUCCGCGUGCAGGAUGAAGGCCCUCGGGUUGUAAACUGCUUUUGUACAGAACGAAAAGGUUUCUACUAAUACUAGGAGCUCAUGACGGUACUGUAAGAAUAAGCACCGGCUAACUACGUGCCAGCCGCCGCGGUAA